This is a non-coding RNA of Brugia malayi, 46 nucleotides long. The record is from Rfam. Lineage: Eukaryota; Metazoa; Nematoda; Chromadorea; Rhabditida; Onchocercidae.
CCAACGGCCCUCUUUAGGGCCACAAAUUAAUGGGUUAUGCUCAUGU